Danio rerio (zebrafish) is the source of this 1612-nucleotide non-coding RNA. The record is from RefSeq and is a predicted model, not a curated record. NCBI's taxonomy places the organism in Eukaryota, Metazoa, Chordata, Actinopteri, Cypriniformes, Danionidae.
CUUAGGCUAUAUUAUACUACAUUAAUACCAUUACCAAAAGCUAGUGAAUCAAUGUUUUGUUUGAUAAGUAAGAUUAAGUUAGUUAGAUAAAUGACCUUUAGCUUGGUACAGAAAGAGUGGAGGGCGGCUCCUUCCACACCGCUGCAGAAAACCAAACCUGUAUGAUUAGAGCGGGCGGAGCUGAGUCCGUGACACAAACUUGCCUCGCUAUGUCAUAUUUAAUGAAUUAUUUCACUGUAAUAAUAAUAAUAGCUUAUUUAUUUGGUUGUGAAAAAGCUAAACCGUUUUCUCCAUAACAACAUGUGCCCUUUAAGUUCCUUUGUAAUAAAUCAACAACAACAAGAAUUAAUUUUAAAUAAUAGGUGCAACCGCAUAAAUAAAUCUUCAGAUAGGCUACUCAGCUACAUGUAAGAAAUUAUUUAAAAAAUAAACUUAUAAAGGACACUUGCAGACAGGUAUCUUGUGAUGGGGAGUAGGAAAAAAGGCGCUCCUAGGCCUUCUCUUGACAUCAGCGGAGACUCGUUCCCUGCUGCAUUUGUGUAUUGUUGACGCAGAAGUAUCUUAUUCUGGUCCAUUUUUGUGGCCUUUUUAUAAUUUUUUGUGAAGUUGAAGACUUCAUCUUCUAUCGCUAAAUCAAUGAGCAAACUCUGAGCACUUCACCGGCGAUGACUCUCUUCCCAGGGGAUGCUGAGCUCGCGCCGCAUCCUGAACGCUCUCUUAACUGUUAUAUCGCACUUUGUAAAGAAACUGGUCUGACGGAUAUUGCGUUUUGUGAAAAAAAAUACGUUUUGUACUUGGCCUAAAAUGUGCAUUCUUAAAUGUUAUUAAUGGCAGCAAUUCACACAUAGAUUAAGGUACAUCUGAACAGUGAUUUCCAAUAAUAAAAUCCAAAUGUCAAAAAAUGCCGUUUAUCGCAUUUUGCAACCAAACUCUUCAUAUUUAUGUGUGUGUUAUGACUGUAUGACUGCAGAAGAGAACUGCUCUGUUCCCACAACUCAGUUUUUCUGGGACUUGAAAACAGAUGCUCAGAAGAUUUUAAAGGGUGGAAUCUUGAUCAAAUCGUGGGUUUACACACAAACAUGUAAUACAGUGCAAGAUUUUCUGGAUGUUAUAUACACAUUUGUAUUUGCAAACAUAUUUAUCAUAUUGUUUUAAAUGAUAUAUUUUUGUGUGGGUUUUUACAUUCAGAGAAAGUUACAGUGGAUUGUGAUUUUGGAGGAGGUGAAGUCCAGUCUAAAAGAGUCCCCUCAAGUAUCAUCACCAUGGUACAGUGUCUGUGAAGAUAGUGAAGCAGACCCAGCAUUCACAAAAAAGAGAGGUCCCAUAAAGAGAAGAUCCUGGAGCAAACAGGAAGAACAUGCUGUGGUGAAAGCUGAACCAUGGGCUCUAAAAACCAGAGAUUGGUCAGCUUUGGAUUGUUUAUAUUAAAAACUGAAUCUCGGCUCUUUAGAUAAAAAAUCUGAAUAACACUUUUAUAGUAAGUAUACACUAUACAUCAUUAGUUUAGCACUAACUCUACAUUAAUAGACUUUAGGAAGCAGUUUAUAAAUACAGCUUCAAACGCUGUAUUCUUGACUUGACUUAAUUGUAUUUUCAUGCUUUGUUACUGAUU